This 444-nucleotide ribosomal RNA is filed under the name uncultured bacterium. RNAcentral describes it as "partial 16S ribosomal RNA". It matches the Rfam family "Bacterial small subunit ribosomal RNA", at positions 331 to 792 of the family's 1533-position model. The record is from RNAcentral.
CCAGACUCCUACGGGAGGCAGCAGUGGGGAAUAUUGCACAAUGGGGGGAACCCUGAUGCAGCGACGCCGCGUGAGUGAAGAAGUAUUUCGGUAUGUAAAGCUCUAUCAGCAGGGACGAAGAUGACGGUACCUGAAGAAGAAGCCCCGGCUAACUACGUGCCAGCAGCCGCGGUAAUACGUAGGGGGCAAGCGUUAUCCGGAUUUACUGGGCGUAAAGGGGGCGCAGACGGCGAUGCAAGCCAGGAGUGAAAGCCCGGGGCCCAACCCCGGGACUGCUCUUGGAACUGCGUGGCUAGAGUGCAGGAGGGGCAGGCGGAAUUCCUGGUGCAGCGGUGAAAUGCGUAGAUAUCAGGAGGAACACCGGUGGCGAAGGCGGCCUGCUGGACUGCAACUGACGUUGAGGCCCGAAAGCGUGGGGAGCAAACAGGAUUAGAUACCCGAGUA